GAUGAACGCUGGCGGCGUGCUUAACACAUGCAAGUCGAACGGAAAGGCUCCUGCUUGCAGGGGUACUCGAGUGGCGAACGGGUGAGUAACACGUGGGUGAUCUGCCCUGCACUUCGGGAUAAGCCUGGGAAACUGGGUCUAAUACCGGAUAGGACCACAUUUUGGAUGGUGUGGUGGAAAGUUUUUCGGUGUGGGAUGAGCUCGCGGCCUAUCAGCUUGUUGGUGGGGUAAUGGCCUACCAAGGCGUCGACGGGUGGCCGGCCUGAGAGGGUGUACGGCCACAUUGGGACUGAGAUACGGCCCAGACUCCUACGGGAGGCAGCAGUGGGGAAUAUUGCACAAUGGGCGCAAGCCUGAUGCAGCGACGCCGCGUGGGGGAUGACGGCCUUCGGGUUGUAAACUCCUUUCACUAGGGACGAAGCGCAAGUGACGGUACCUGGAGAAGAAGCACCGGCUAACUACGUG
This 465-nucleotide ribosomal RNA is filed under the name uncultured bacterium. RNAcentral describes it as "partial 16S ribosomal RNA". It matches the Rfam family "Bacterial small subunit ribosomal RNA", at positions 28 to 507 of the family's 1533-position model. The record is from RNAcentral.